RNAcentral lists this ribosomal RNA (498 nucleotides) under uncultured bacterium. RNAcentral describes it as "partial 16S ribosomal RNA". It matches the Rfam family "Bacterial small subunit ribosomal RNA", at positions 30 to 523 of the family's 1533-position model. The record is from RNAcentral.
AUUGAACGCUGGCGGCAUGCCUUACACAUGCAAGUCGAACGGUAACAGGUCUUCGGAUGCUGACGAGUGGCGAACGGGUGAGUAAUACAUCGGAACGUGCCUAGUAGUGGGGGAUAACUACUCGAAAGAGUGGCUAAUACCGCAUGAGAUCUUCGGAUGAAAGCAGGGGAUCGCAAGACCUUGUGCUACUAGAGCGGCCGAUGGCAGAUUAGGUAGUUGGUGGGAUAAAAGCUUACCAAGCCGACGACCUGUAGCUGGUCUGAGAGGACGAUCAGCCACACUGGGACUGAGACACGGCCCAGACUCCUACGGGAGGCAGCAGUGGGGAAUUUUGGACAAUGGGCGCAAGCCUGAUCCAGCAAUGCCGCGUGCAGGAUGAAGGCCUUCGGGUUGUAAACUGCUUUUGUACGGAACGAAAAGCCCUGGGUUAAUACCCUGGGGUCAUGACGGUACCGUAAGAAUAAGCACCGGCUAACUACGUGCCAGCCGCCGCGGUAA